Molecule: ribosomal RNA, 733 nt
Filed under: Diplostomum ardeae
Lineage: Eukaryota; Metazoa; Platyhelminthes; Trematoda; Diplostomida; Diplostomidae
Description: 12S ribosomal RNA
Source: RNAcentral
UUUUGGUUUAGUUCUGGCCAGAGGAGAGUUUUUAGUUAUAUUCCACAUAAGGAUAUUUUGGUUAUUUAGUUUUGAUUAGUUUUGUCAUUCUAUUUAGUGGUAAGAUCUUAAAGUAUGUAUAAGUACAGUCUAGGGUAGCUAAAUUGAGGUGGAUAAUUCGCAGUGCCAGCAUCCGCGGUUAUUCUGUUUUACCUCACUCUCUUUUUUUGGUUUAAAUUAUUCUGGUCUAAGUAGUGAAUAGCUGCAAUAUGUUUGUUUACUUUUUAUAAGCUGGUCAGUUUUAUAUUUUAGGAUUUCUGGUUUGGGAUAGAGAUUAGAGACCUCUUUACCAGGUUUGGAGUUUUUUCCAUGGUUUUAACUAAAAGGAUUUGGCAGCUGACGAUUUUCAUCCGGGGGAGUGUGCUUCUUAAACAGAUAGUACGCUUAUGAAUUUUCCAGGUUUAUUUUAGUUAGUGUAUAUCCGAUUUAAUAUUUGUGAUUAAUUUCUAAAUAAGUGUAUAAUAAUUAAUUAAAGUCAGGUCGAUGUGCUGCUAAUGAAUUGGGGGAUUGUGCAUUACAUUUAAAAGUUUAGUGUUGUAACUGUUUUUACUUGAUUUAGGACUCGGUAGUAGGGGUUUUUUAGUUUGGAGUCUCGAAUUGGAUUUAGUUGGGGUACACAUCGCCCGUCAGUUUCAACGUUAGUUGUGAUAAGUCGUAACAUGGUAACGAUUGGGGAACCAGUCGUUAGUUGGCU